RNAcentral lists this ribosomal RNA (327 nucleotides) under uncultured eukaryote. Its description in RNAcentral is "partial 18S ribosomal RNA". It matches the Rfam family "Eukaryotic small subunit ribosomal RNA", at positions 1470 to 1796 of the family's 1831-position model. The record is from RNAcentral.
CCCUUAGAUGUUCUGGGCCGCACGCGCGCUACACUGAACAGUUCAACAAGUCUUAACCUUGGCCGAUAGGUCUGGGUAAUCUUUGAACGCUGUUCGUGAUUGGGAUAGACCUUUGCAAUUAUGGGUCUUCAACGAGGAAUUCCUAGUAAACGCAAGUCAUCAGCUUGCAUUGAUUACGUCCCUGCCCUUUGUACACACCGCCCGUCGCUACUACCGAUUGAACGUUUUAGUGAGGUAUUUGGACUGGACCUUCGGAGGUUCGCGCCUCCGUUGCUGUUCGGGAAGACUCCCAAACUUGAGCGUUUAGAGGAAGUAAAAGUCGUAACA